UAAACUAGGAUUAGAUACCCUAUUAUUAUAAAAUGUUAUUUUAGUAUUAAUUUAAGAUUUAUUAAAUUUAAAGAUUUUGGCGGUAUUCUAAGCUUUUUAGAGGAAUUUAUUUUUUAAUUGAUAUGGCACAAAAAUCUUUCUUAAUUUUGUUAGGUCAGUUUGUAUAUCGCUAUCAUUUUAUAAUGUUGUUUAACAAUUGUAAAAAAAAAUUUUUUUUAGGAUGUUAGGUCAAAAUGCAACAAAAAAUUAAGUUUUAAAUAAAUUACGUUAAUUUAUAUUAGAAAAUUUAUGAAAAAAGUUAUUAGGAUUUAACAGUAAAUUUUGAUUAUAAUGUUUGAUUGAAAUAAGCUCUGGAAUAUGCACACAUCGCCCGUCGCUCUCAUUA
Molecule: ribosomal RNA, 385 nt
Filed under: Alectorobius fonsecai
Lineage: Eukaryota; Metazoa; Arthropoda; Arachnida; Ixodida; Argasidae
Description: Ornithodoros fonsecai partial 12S ribosomal RNA
Source: RNAcentral